RNAcentral lists this ribosomal RNA (513 nucleotides) under uncultured bacterium. Its description in RNAcentral is "partial 16S ribosomal RNA". It matches the Rfam family "Bacterial small subunit ribosomal RNA", at positions 28 to 523 of the family's 1533-position model. The record is from RNAcentral.
GAUGAACGCUGGCGGCGUGCCUAAUACAUGCAAGUCGAGCGAACAGACGAGGAGCUUGCUCCUCUGACGUUAGCGGCGGACGGGUGAGUAACACGUGGAUAACCUACCUAUAAGACUGGGAUAACUUCGGGAAACCGGAGCUAAUACCGGAUAAUAUAUUGAACCGCCAGGUUCAAUAGUGAAAGACGGUUUUGCUGUAACUUAUAGAUGGAUCCGCGGCGCAUUAGCUAGUUGGUAAGGUAACGGCUUACCAAGGCAACGAUGCGUAGCCGACCUGGGAGGGUGAUCGGCCACACUGGAACUGAGACACGGUCCGGGCUCCUACGGGAGGCAGCGGUAGGGAAUCUUCCGCAAGGGGCGAAAGCCUGACGGAGCAACGCCGCGUGAGUGAUGAAGGUCUUCGGAUCGUAAAGCUCUGUUAUUAGGGAAGAACAAAUGUGUAAGUAACUAUGCACGUCUUGACGGUACCUAAUCAGAAAGCCACGGCUAACUACGUGCCAGCAGCCGCCGUAA